This 484-nucleotide ribosomal RNA is filed under the name uncultured bacterium. Its description in RNAcentral is "partial 16S ribosomal RNA". It matches the Rfam family "Bacterial small subunit ribosomal RNA", at positions 30 to 507 of the family's 1533-position model. The record is from RNAcentral.
AUUGAACGCUGGCGGCAGGCCUAACACAUGCAAGUCGAGCGGAUGAAGGGAGCUUGCUCCUGGAUUCAGCGGCGGACGGGUGAGUAAUGCCUAGGAAUCUGCCUGGUAGUGGGGGAUAACGUCCGGAAACGGGCGCUAAUACCGCAUACGUCCUGAUGGUGAAAGAGGGGGAUCUUCGGACCUCACGCUAUCAGAUGAGCCUAGGUCGGAUUAGCUAGUUGGUGGGGUAAAGGCCUACCAAGGCGACGAUCCGUAACUGGUCUGAGAGGAUGAUCAGUCACACUGGAACUGAGACACGGUCCAGACUCCUACGGGAGGGAGCAGUGGGGAAUAGUAGACAAUGGGCGAAAGCCUGAUCCAGCCAUGCCGCGUGUGUGAAGAAGGUCUUCGGAUUGUAAAGCACUUUAAGUUGGGAGGAAGGGCAGUAAGUUAAUACCUUGCUGUUUUGACGUUACCAACAGAAUAAGCACCGGCUAACUUCGUG